UCCGUAGGUGAACCUGCGGAAGGAUCAUUACCACACCGAUCCCAGAUCGAUUCCUUCUUGUGAAGUUGGACCAACAACAGAUUUGUGUGUGUUGCUGGUCCAGUUGACACACAACCCCCCAUGAAAUCACCGGCCUUGAACUGUAAGGACCAUGAAAUGGAAAAAGCUUUGGUUGUUGUACAAACACCAAACGAAUUGAAUACAUUACAACUUUCAGCAAUGGAUGUCUUGGUUCCCACACCGAUGAAGAACGCAGCGAAAUGCGAUACGUAAUGCGAAUUGCAAAACCUUGUGAAUCAUCAAUCUUUUGAACGCACAUUGCGCUUCCGGGAAUCUCCCGGUAGCAUGCUUGUCUGAGUGUCAGCGAAACUCUCUCAGCGCGGAUGUGAAUUAUGCGUCUGCAGCUGGUGUAUGGUGGUGGCAACAAUAUACUGUCUCUGUCGAAAUGAGUCUUUCGGGUAAUUGGUUGUUACACGGCCUCUACCUCUGGUAAACUAUCAGCAGGAAACGUCGACACACCAACCAACAUAAAUUCUUUCCUGAUCUCAGCUCAAGUAAGAGGACCCGCUGAAUUUAAGCAUAUUAUUAAGCGGAGGAAAAGGAACUAACCAGGAUUCCCCUAGUAACGGCGAGUGAAGCGGGAGAAGCUCAUGAUGUGAAUCUGUGCUCUGCACGGAAUUGUGGUCUAUAGUUGUUGGCGCUAUUUGGACCGGGCCAAGUCCCUUGGAACAGGGCAGCUGAGAGGGUGAGACUCCCGUUCGCCUGGUCCUUUGAGCCUGCUUCUACGAGUCGAGUUGUUUGGGAUUGCAGCUCUAAUUGGGUGGUAAAUUCCAUCUAAAGCAGAAUACUGGUGGGAGACCGAUAGCGUACAAGUACCGUGAGGGAAAGAUGAAAAGAACUUUGGAAAGAGAGUUAAACAGUACGUGAAAUUGCUGAAAGGGAAACGCUUGAAGU
Molecule: ribosomal RNA, 954 nt
Filed under: uncultured fungus
Lineage: Eukaryota; Fungi
Description: eukaryotic LSU rRNA
Rfam family: Eukaryotic large subunit ribosomal RNA (bases 541-954)
Source: RNAcentral